Molecule: ribosomal RNA, 387 nt
Filed under: uncultured bacterium
Lineage: Bacteria
Description: bacterial SSU rRNA
Rfam family: Bacterial small subunit ribosomal RNA
Source: RNAcentral
AUUGAACGCUGGCGGCAUGCCUAACACAUGCAAGUCGAACGGUAACGCGGGGGCAACCCUGGCGACGAGUGGCGGACGGGUGAGUAAUACAUCGGAACGUGCCCAGUAGUGGGGGAUAGCCCGGCGAAAGCCGGAUUAAUACCGCAUACGACCUACGGGUGAAAGCGGGGGAUCGCAAGACCUCGCGCUAUUGGAGCGGCCGAUGUCAGAUUAGCUAGUUGGUGGGGUAAAAGCCUACCAAGGCGACGAUCUGUAGCUGGUCUGAGAGGACGACCAGCCACACUGGGACUGAGACACGGCCCAGACUCCUACGGAGGCAGCAGUGGGAAUUUUGGACAAUGGGGGCAACCCUGAUCCAGCCAUGCCGCGUGCGGGAAGAAGGCCUGG